GGGGUAAAACUAUAAAUUUUCCACUUUUAAAGGUAUUUCAGUAAUUUAUCUAUUUUAGGGUUUUUCAUGCAUAUUCCUACUUUUCACGUACUAACAGAAUCACGUACCGAGGGUUCUUACCAAAUUGGGCCCGUUGGCCCAUCAUUCCAAUUUUGGCCCAUUAAGCCCAAAAAUAUCGAGGGCACAGAAAUCAUGCACUUUGCAGUCCAAAUUUUGCAGCUUAUCAAAAACAUUAAUCGAUUUACCUCACGAGCAUUCGCACACUCGCAAAUCUACAAAAUACCGGUUUUCGGCAUUUCGGCUUUUCGACUUUUGCCGAUCCAGACUAAGAAAGAGGGUGUUAGUUACACACCUAUUUGCGACGAUAUGCUGACGAGAUCCACACACGAACCGCCUACAAUUGGAUUACUAACACGUUAAUCUAACUAUUCAAGUACAAACUACGUAUUAACCCCUUACAAUAUUCGGCCAACCACACCUACAGAUCAUAGUAAGCUUAUAAGAAAUCAAUAAGCAACUCAUUAACAAAGUUUUGUCAAUGUUUACCACAUAAUCAUAAUCUCACUGCAAGCUGUCUUCCUGAGAAAUAGUCACUAAAUCAUUUAUAACUGGAGCUACGAAACUCCAAAUCAAGUGCCGUUAAUUUUCCCUGAAAAUAGACUCAUAUAUCUUAUAUCCAUAAAAUUUUAAGAAUUUUUUGUUUGGCCAAUCAAUACCAGAUUUUUCUCAAAUUUUCGCAUGUUUCACUAUUUGACUAAUCUGACCACUCUUCAUUACGAAUCAAAUUUCUCAUUGUACAGAAUUCAAAAUAUGUUCUCGUUUAUUCCAUUUGAAACUAGACUCAUUAAGCUUUAAUUACAUAAUUUAUGUAGCUUCUAACUCAUCUCCCACAAUUUAUGGUGAUUUUCCAAAGUCACGUUACUGCUGCUGUCCCAAGCAGAUUUAUUACCAAAUCACUCUUUCACACCUAACUUGCAUGCUUGUUAUUUAAACAUGUAUAUCACCAAUCAAUCAUCACAUAUCUAUGAUUUUACUUAAGUAUAAUCUCCAUUUCAUCAUUUUAAAGCACAACAUGUUAGCCGAUUUUUCCCUUUAGCAUCUAAGCACAUGCAUGCUCAUUUGUUUGGCUCAACUUCACAUAUCUUCCAUUUUUCAUCAAAAGAACAUGAAACAACAACCAUUUCCUUCAUUUUAAUUCAGGACCAAAUGCUCACAACACAACCAAAAACCAAAAUAUGCUUCAAGAGUUAAGGUAGAAUCAAGAAGAACUCAUGAACAUCAAGAUAGAAGCAAACUACCAUGAACUUACCUUCAAUUUUCUUCCCCAAGUGACCGAACAUUCAAGAGCUUUCUCCUCUCCUUUCUCUUCUCUAACUUUAGGC
This 1382-nucleotide long non-coding RNA is filed under the name Gossypium barbadense (sea-island cotton). RNAcentral's name for it is "long non-coding RNA (GBAR_LNC008828)". The record is from RNAcentral. Lineage: Eukaryota; Viridiplantae; Streptophyta; Magnoliopsida; Malvales; Malvaceae.